RNAcentral lists this ribosomal RNA (116 nucleotides) under Prolemur simus (greater bamboo lemur). The record is from RNAcentral. Lineage: Eukaryota; Metazoa; Chordata; Mammalia; Primates; Lemuridae.
GUCUACAGCCACACCAUCCUGAAUGCACCUGAUCUUGUCUGAUCUUGGAAGCUAAGUAGGGUUGGGGCCUGGUUAGUACUUGGAUGGGAGAAAAUAAACAAAGAAACCUAUAAAUG